This 394-nucleotide ribosomal RNA is filed under the name uncultured bacterium. RNAcentral describes it as "partial 16S ribosomal RNA". It matches the Rfam family "Bacterial small subunit ribosomal RNA", at positions 338 to 729 of the family's 1533-position model. The record is from RNAcentral.
CCUACGGGUGGCAGCAGUGAGGAAUAUUGGUCAAUGGACGGAAGUCUGAUGCAGCCAUGCCGCGUGCAGGAAGACGGCUUUCUGAGUUGUAAACUGUUUUUGUACAAGGGAAAACCUGAAUACGUGUAUUCAGCUGACAGUCCUGUACGAAUAAGGAUCGGCUAACUCCGUGCCAGCAGCCGCGGUAAUACGGAGGAGCCAAGCGUUAUCCGGAUUUAUUGGGGUUAAAGGGUGCGUAGGCGGAUUGAUAAGUUAGAGGUGAAAUGUCCGAGCUUAACUCGGGAACUGCCUCUAAUACUGUUUAUCUAGAGAGUAGGAGCGGUAGGCGGAAUGUAUGGUGUAGCGGUGAAAUGCUUAGAGAUCAUACAGAACACCGAUUGCGAAGGCAGCUUAC